Molecule: ribosomal RNA, 440 nt
Filed under: uncultured bacterium
Lineage: Bacteria
Description: partial 16S ribosomal RNA
Rfam family: Bacterial small subunit ribosomal RNA
Source: RNAcentral
CCUACGGGAGGCAGCAGUGGGGAAUAUUGCACAAUGGGGGAAACCCUGAUGCAGCGACGCCGCGUGAAGGAAGAAGUAUUUCGGUAUGUAAACCUCUAUCAGCAGGGAAGAAAAUGACGGUACCUGACUAAGAAGCCCCGGCUAACUACGUGCCAGCAGCCGCGGUAAUACGUAGGGGGCAAGCGUUAUCCGGAUUUACUGGGUGUAAAGGGAGCGUAGGCGGUGAUGCAAGUCCGAAGUGAAAGCCCGGAGCUCAACUGCGGGACUGCUUUUGAAACUGAAUCACUAGAGUGCAGGAGAGGUAAGUGGAAUUCCUAGUGUAGCGGUGAAAUGCGUAGAUAUCACGAAGAACUCCGAUUGCGAAGGCAGCUUACUGGACUGCAACUGACGCUGAGGCUCGAAAGUGUGGGUAUCAAACAGGAUUAGAUACCCGUGUAGUC